RNAcentral lists this long non-coding RNA (1005 nucleotides) under Felis catus (domestic cat). RNAcentral's name for it is "lncRNA (ENSFCAG00000046995.1)". Lineage: Eukaryota; Metazoa; Chordata; Mammalia; Carnivora; Felidae. The record is from RNAcentral.
AGGAAAGUACAAUUUUGCAGUGUAGAAAAAAUUCUAUUUUCACAUAAUUUAUCAUUUGAUUUAGGUCAGAGAAUUUUCUAAUUAAUUCCCAAUCAAUUUUUGGCAAAGUGUGUUGCUUCUACUUCCAGAAGAUAAAAUGCAUAGCAAGAAUAAGCUACUUCUGAAUUUUUUUUCAUGUUCUUGUAUUCUAUUACCUUAGCCCUGCAUUUAUCUCUAGGUGUUCAUGUACAAUGAUCUAAAUGAAAUUUUUGAGAUGAAUAUUAGUUUCUCACAACAUACCAACAUCUGUUCCCAGUCGAGGUAAUAGGGUUAUGGUCAACGGGAUACAAACAACUCAUGGAAACAUUCAUGUUGAGAAAGAGCCUUCUGGGAAAAUUGAAAGAUAGAUUGUCGUUUCCUAGGUGAGUGCCUUCCAUUCGAGGCUGGGGAAGAAAUGCUACUGGAAGGCAACACAGAUUAGGGCUGAUAGGAAGAUAAAUCUCAGGCACAAUCUCAGAUCAGCCACCCACAGAGCUUUGUUUAUUUUUAGAAUGGAUUGUUCAGAUAUGGUGUUCCUUACGUGGAAAAAUGCAUGCUUUUGUGUCCAGUGGCAUAUUGCUUAUCAUUUUCAACGUAAAACCCAAGUAAGGGUGAGGCAGUGUAUUCCCGGACGCUCUGGUCUCAGACACAUCGUUUUCUUCUGUCCUGAGAUAAACACCAUCGGAAUGUUUGCUGCAUCACUUUUCCCCAAACUCCUCACUUUCUGACAGAGAUCACAAACUAUGCCAGAGGAUAUUGUAAGUCCUGCUUUCCCUCCUUAUCCGUGGGGGAUACGUUCGAAGACCUCCAGCCUGAAACCGCCGAUAGUACUCAAUCCUAUAUGUACUAUGUUUUUUCCUAUACAUACCUCUGAUAAUGUUUAAUUUACAAAUUAGGCACGUAAGAGAUUAACAAUAACUAAUAAGAAAACAGAACAAUCAUAAAAAUUACUGUAAUAAAAGCCAUGUGAAUAUGGCCUCUCGAUCA